Molecule: long non-coding RNA, 1819 nt
Filed under: Homo sapiens (human)
Lineage: Eukaryota; Metazoa; Chordata; Mammalia; Primates; Hominidae
Description: HSALNT0174838
Source: RNAcentral
AUGGGCCUCCUUUGCCAAGGAUUAGUUUCUCUUUUUUGUUUUUUUUAGAAAUUCUGAAUGUGUUGAAAAGGCUUUAGAGGGAUUUAAAAUAUAGGAAAUAACAAGGUCUGACUUAAAUUUACAAAAGAUCUCUCUAGCAGCUGAUGGGCGACAGUCUAUAGGGAGCAAGAGCAGAAGAUCUAUUCUCCUCAGGGCAGACAAUAGGCACCUUUCAAGGACGAGGCAAGUAAGGCCCAGAGAGCUGACAAGAUCUGUCCUAGCUCACUCCAUUUUGUACUUUUGGUUCCCAGACCAGUGGCCCUUUGUGGCUACACAUUCUCUAACUGAGGCACAACUGACCAGGCUCCAGGUGAAGCUUCUCGGCCUGCAUUACAGGUCCUGUUGUGCCCAACUCAUGAUUUAUCCAGGUCACACCAGUCUGGUCUGUCACAGUAAGAGGGCCACCAGGAAACACACCUUCAGGAAGCACCUUUUCUGUUCUAUCCCAAAGGGCACCAUCACAUACACUAUAAUAUGAAUCAUGACCCCCGGAGUUGUGUGGAGUUUCUGCAUCUCUCCCUCCCCACUGUGGCUACCCUCAUCCAGCAACCAUCCUGUCUCUCACCGGUAUUACCGCAGCUGAGACCCAGGUCUUAAGGAAGCUGAGACCCAGGCCAGCAGGGGCCUCACAGCUUGGAAAAAGAGGAGGGUGUAAGACUCUGGAUGAAGCUGAGAGAUCCUUCCAUGCUUGGCUGAGAGACUACACAGACAUGAGCUUCAGGAGACUCCAAAGCCUCGGAUCCCCUUCUAAACUAGCACUGAAUUCUGAUUGGCUGUCUUUGCCUGCCUCAGUUUGUUCCUUUUACUGAUUGGCUAGGUUCUUCUGCCCAUGGCAGAGCCCUGCUCCAGCCACCGGAUCCUCCCACCUGCCACAGUGUCACCUGGGAUUGGCUGGGCUCUGAAAGGCCAGGCUGGCUUGACUCUUGCCAUCAUCAGAUUCUUCCUCAUUAAACAAAUGAAUCACAAUCCUAAUUAAUUUGAGCAACAGAAUUUAUGUAACUACUCCCAGCAGGAUGUCUGCUCUCAGUCAGCAGAGAGAUUACUUCCUCUCUCUGGGAAAUUCCAGCCUUGCUGGUCAAUAAGCCUUAAUGAUGACUGAAAUCUCCCAUCUGUCUCUGCUCAGGGCAGGUAACCCCUACUAAGCAGACACCCAGUUGGCUCGAGGCAGUACCCCGGGCACCGGCAGGACAAGGACAACGAUCUCCCAGCCUAGAUGUGUCCUGAGCCACAUGGAGCACACAGAUUACAGGAUCUGACUCCCAUUUGGGCCUUCCACCUCCGCUGGCCUAAGCAGUCAAGUGUCAGAGAGCACUGGACCUAACAGCUCCCUCACCAGAGCAGCUGUGAUUCCUUCUUCAUUUCCAGCAGGGAAGACCCAACAACUUUUAUAAUAUGGGAUUUCUUUUAUUCUCAUGAUAAUAAUGUUCAUUGUGGAAAAUAAAAAAAAAUGAUAAAAUAAAAAUCAGCCAGAAUUCCAACUUCUGGAGAUUUUGGUGUCUUUCUGCAAAGUUCCUAUGCACAUAGAUACUUUAUAAAAUUAUGAACAUACUGUACAUACAGUUUUGGAAUAUGCCUUUUUCCUUCUGUCAUGAAAAAGUCUUCAAAUGCCUUUUAACAGCUACACAAUAGUUCACUACAUGAACCAACUCAAAUGUAACUAUUUUUGGCCUUUUGUUAUAAAUAACACAAGAACCCUCAGUCUUUGUUACAUAAUGUCCUAACAGAGUAGGGGAAAUGCUCCCCAAUCCGGUGCAAUGUCCUGUGCCCAGGGAAACCAAUU